This 750-nucleotide ribosomal RNA is filed under the name Caulobacter sp. PTJT-12. RNAcentral describes it as "bacterial SSU rRNA". It matches the Rfam family "Bacterial small subunit ribosomal RNA", at positions 72 to 865 of the family's 1533-position model. Lineage: Bacteria; Pseudomonadati; Pseudomonadota; Alphaproteobacteria; Caulobacterales; Caulobacteraceae. The record is from RNAcentral.
GGAUCCUUCGGGAUUAGUGGCGGACGGGUGAGUAACACGUGGGAACGUGCCUUUUGGUUCGGAACAACUCAGGGAAACUUGAGCUAAUACCGGAUAAGCCUUUCGAGGGAAAGAUUUAUCGCCAUUAGAGCGGCCCGCGUAGGAUUAGCUAGUUGGUGGGGUAAAGGCCCACCAAGGCUACGAUCCUUAGCUGGUCUGAGAGGAUGAUCAGCCACAUUGGGACUGAGACACGGCCCAAACUCCUACGGGAGGCAGCAGUGGGGAAUCUUGCGCAAUGGGCGAAAGCCUGACGCAGCCAUGCCGCGUGAAUGAUGAAGGUCUUAGGAUUGUAAAAUUCUUUCACCGGGGACGAUAAUGACGGUACCCGGAGAAGAAGCCCCGGCUAACUUCGUGCCAGCAGCCGCGGUAAUACGAAGGGGGCUAGCGUUGCUCGGAAUUACUGGGCGUAAAGGGAGCGUAGGCGGAUAGUUUAGUCAGAGGUGAAAGCCCAGGGCUCAACCUUGGAAUUGCCUUUGAUACUGGCUAUCUUGAGUACGGAAGAGGUAUGUGGAACUCCGAGUGUAGAGGUGAAAUUCGUAGAUAUUCGGAAGAACACCAGUGGCGAAGGCGACAUACUGGUCCGUUACUGACGCUGAGGCUCGAAAGCGUGGGGAGCAAACAGGAUUAGAUACCCUGGUAGUCCACGCUGUAAACGAUGAGUGCUAGUUGUCGGCAGGCAUGCCUGUCGGUGACGCAGCUAACGCAUUAAGC